UACGUAGGGACCGAGCGUUGUCCGGAUUCAUUGGGCGUAAAGAGCUCGUAGGCGGCUGCUCAAGUCGAAUGUGAAAACUCGAGGCUCAACCUCGAGCCUGCAUUCGAUACUGGGCGGCUAGAGUCUGGUAGGGGGAUCUGGAAUUCCUGGUGUAGCGGUGAAAUGCGCAGAUAUCGGGAAGAACACCCGUGGCGAAGGCGGUUCUCUGGGACGGUACUGACGCUGAGACGCGAAAGCGUGGGGAGCGAACAGG
Molecule: ribosomal RNA, 253 nt
Filed under: uncultured bacterium
Lineage: Bacteria
Description: partial 16S ribosomal RNA
Rfam family: Bacterial small subunit ribosomal RNA
Source: RNAcentral